RNAcentral lists this ribosomal RNA (602 nucleotides) under uncultured bacterium. RNAcentral describes it as "bacterial SSU rRNA". It matches the Rfam family "Bacterial small subunit ribosomal RNA", at positions 185 to 804 of the family's 1533-position model. The record is from RNAcentral.
UUCGCAUGAAGUAGCAAUUAAAGGAGCAAUCCGCUAUGAGAUGGGCCCGCGGCGCAUUAGCUAGUUGGUGAGGUAACGGCUCACCAAGGCGACGAUGCGUAGCCGACCUGAGAGGGUGAUCGGCCACAUUGGGACUGAGACACGGCCCAGACUCCUACGGGAGGCAGCAGUGGGGAAUAUUGCACAAUGGGGGAAACCCUGAUGCAGCAACGCCGCGUGAGUGAUGACGGCCUUCGGGUUGUAAAGCUCUGUCUUCAGGGACGAUAAUGACGGUACCUGAGGAGGAAGCCACGGCUAACUACGUGCCAGCAGCCGCGGUAAUACGUAGGUGGCGAGCGUUGUCCGGAUUUACUGGGCGUAAAGGGAGCGUAGGCGGACUUUUAAGUGAGAUGUGAAAUACCCGGGCUCAACUUGGGUGCUGCAUUUCAAACUGGAAGUCUAGAGUGCAGGAGAGGAGAAUGGAAUUCCUAGUGUAGCGGUGAAAUGCGUAGAGAUUAGGAAGAACACCAGUGGCGAAGGCGAUUCUCUGGACUGUAACUGACGCUGAGGCUCGAAAGCGUGGGGACCAAACGGGAUUAGAUACCCUGGUAGUCCACGCCGUA